RNAcentral lists this unclassified non-coding RNA (351 nucleotides) under soil metagenome. Its description in RNAcentral is "partial contains 5.8S ribosomal RNA, internal transcribed spacer 2, and large subunit ribosomal RNA". The stretch from base 1 to 120 matches the Rfam family "5.8S ribosomal RNA", at positions 35 to 154 of the family's 154-position model. The record is from RNAcentral.
GAUGAAGAACGCAGCGAAAUGCGAUAAGUAAUGUGAAUUGCAGAAUUCAGUGAAUCAUCGAAUCUUUGAACGCACAUUGCGCCCGCCAGUAUUCUGGCGGGCAUGCCUGUUCGAGCGUCAUUACAACCCUCAGGCCCCCGGGCCUGGCGUUGGGAUCGGCGGAAGCCCCCUGCGGGCACAACGCCGUCCCCCAAAUACAGUGGCGGUCCCGCCGCAGCUUCCAUUGCGUAGUAGCUAACACCUCGCAACUGGAGAGCGGCGCGGCCACGCCGUAAAACACCCAACUUCUGAAUGUUGACCUCGAAUCAGGUAGGAAUACCCGCUGAACUUAAGCAUAUCAAUAGCGGAGGA